This 286-nucleotide ribosomal RNA is filed under the name uncultured bacterium. Its description in RNAcentral is "partial 16S ribosomal RNA". The stretch from base 44 to 286 matches the Rfam family "Bacterial small subunit ribosomal RNA", at positions 556 to 794 of the family's 1533-position model. The record is from RNAcentral.
UACAGAGGGUAGCGACGACGGUUAAUACGGACUUUAACGGUAGGGCGGUAAAGCGUGCGUAGGCGGCUUUUUAAGUUCGGAUGUGAAAUCCCCUGAGCUUAACUUAGGAAUUGCAUUCGAUACUGGGAAGCUAGAGUAUGGGAGAGGAUGGUAGAAUUUCCAGGUGUAGCGGUGAAAUGCGUAGAGAUCUGGAGGAAUACCGAUGGCGAAGGCAGCCAUCUGGCCUAAAUACUGACGCUGAGGUACGAAAGCAUGGGGAGCAAACAGGAUUAGAUACCCCUGUAGU